UACGAAGGGGGCUAGCGUUGUUCGGAAUCACUGGGCGUAAAGCGUACGUAGGCGGAUCGUUAAGUCAGGGGUGAAAGCCUGGAACUCAACUCCAGAACUGCCUUUGAUACUGGCGAUCUUGAGACCGGGAGAGGUGAGUGGAACUGCUAGUGUAGAGGUGAAAUUCGUAGAUAUUAGCAAGAACACCGGUGGCGAAGGCGGGUCUCUGGGCCGAUACUGACGCUGAGGAGCGAAAGCGUGGGGAGCGAACAAG
This 253-nucleotide ribosomal RNA is filed under the name uncultured bacterium. RNAcentral's name for it is "partial 16S ribosomal RNA". It matches the Rfam family "Bacterial small subunit ribosomal RNA", at positions 524 to 776 of the family's 1533-position model. The record is from RNAcentral.